Oxyura jamaicensis (ruddy duck) is the source of this 158-nucleotide long non-coding RNA. RefSeq lists it as uncharacterized. The record is from RefSeq and is a predicted model, not a curated record. The transcript is spliced from 3 exons. NCBI's taxonomy places the organism in Eukaryota, Metazoa, Chordata, Aves, Anseriformes, Anatidae.
CUGGAACAGGCUGCCCAGGGAGGCUGUGGAGUCUCCUUCUCUGGAGAUAUUCAAGGCCCCUCUGGAUGCCUACCUGGGCAGCCUGCUCUAAGGAACCGGCUUUGGCAGGAGGGAUGCACACAAUGAUCUUUAAGGUCCCUUCCAACACAAACCAUUCU